GAUUGAUGCCGAAUUUCUGAUCAAAAAUAUCUGUUUUCAGCUAAUUCUGUGGUCAACGUGCUGUUGUAGGGGUAGGUUCAUCUGAGGUUGAAGCAAAGUAGACAGGUUUACAAUAUUGAUAUAGGUGUACUGAGGGAAGAAGGGUGAGUAGUGAUGGCUUUCAAGCCAUUUGAUUGGUAUUGCCAGCCAGUGGCGAAUGGUGUAUGGGCAACAGCGGUGCAAAAUUCUCUGGGAGCUUUUACACCCUGUACCACAGACACUAUUGUGAUUUGCAUAUCACAUUUAGCUAUGAUGGGGCUGUGUGUAUAUCGAAUAUGGAUAACCAACAUGAAUUUCAAAGCUGAGAAGUUUUGUUUGAGGUCCAAAUAUUACAACUACUUUUUGGCUUUGUUGGCUGGUUACUCUGCAGCUGAACAUUUGUUCAGGUUAAUCAUGGGUGUUUCGGUGCUUAAUUUGGAAGGGGAGGCUGGUCUUGCGCCAUUUGAGCAAGUAAAUUACAGUAAUGCUAGAAAAUGAGAAAAAUAAGGUUGGUUUCAACAAUUUAGAGGAUCUAUGCAGAUAGCUCCAAGAAGAAAGUGGCUGAUGUUAUCAUGUUGAAUCAUAUAGGGAACAUAGAAGAAAACCUCUAAAGAGAAGAACAUGAAAGAGGCUUGGAAGCUAAACCAUGGAUAUGGCAUUGCCUUCUUGUUUUCUGUCAGAGAGCCAAACAACAUUGAGAAAGUACGCCAGGAGAAGGUAAGGUGCAAGGGAAGUUCAAAUUCGGAAACCACGCAAACAGAGGUGGAGGCGAACAUAUGCUUAUGCCCGCACCGCUAAUACUUAUUAUUUUCAAUAUGUUACUUUUGAAUUAUGUAGACUUUUGAGACUUAUUAUUUUAAUUUUGGAUAUUACAAUUGGUGUAUAGUGGGAUAAUUUUUUUGUAAUUAUAAGAAUUAUUUUGGAAUUGCCAAAUUGUUUGAAUGCUGAUUUUUGGCCGAAAAUUGUUUAUGCUGAUUUUUUUUUUAUUAAAAAAUUAUGAAAAGAGACCCGUUA
Molecule: long non-coding RNA, 1032 nt
Organism: Spinacia oleracea (spinach)
Lineage: Eukaryota; Viridiplantae; Streptophyta; Magnoliopsida; Caryophyllales; Amaranthaceae
Exons: 5
Source: RefSeq, a predicted model, not a curated record